AGCCGCGAAAUUCGCCCUUACUCCUACGGGAGGCAGCAGUGGGGAAUUUUCCGCAAUGGGCGAAAGCCUGACGGAGCAAUACCGCGUGAGGGAGGAAGGCUCUUGGGUUGUAAACCUCUUUUCUCAGGGAAGAACAGAAUGACGGUACCUGAGGAAUAAGCAUCGGCUAACUCCGUGCCAGCAGCCGCGGUAAUACGGAGGAUGCAAGCGUUAUCCGGAAUGAUUGGGCGUAAAGGGUCCGCAGGUGGCAUUGAAAGUCUGCUGUUAAAGAGUCUAGCUCAACUAGAUAAAAGCAGUGGAAACUACAAAGCUAGAGUUUGGUCGGGGCAGAGGGAAUUCCUGGUGUAGCGGUGAAAUGCGUAGAUAUCAGGAAGAACACCAGUGGCGAAGGCGCUCUGCUAGGCCGAGACUGACACUGAGGGACGAAAGCUAGGGGAGCGAAUGGGAUUAGAUACCCCAGUAGUCCUAGCCGUAAACGAUGGAUACUAGGCGUAGCUCGUAUCGACCCGAGCUGUGCCGGAGCUAACGCGUUAAGUAUCCCGCCUGGGGAGUACGCAGGCAACUGUGAAACUCAAAGGAAUUGACGGGGGCCCGCACAAGCGGUGGAGUAUGUGGUUUAAUUCGAUGCAACGCGAAGAACCUUACCAAGGCUUGACAUGUCACGAAUCCUGUAGAAAUAUAGGAGUGCCUUCGGGAGCGUGAAGACAGGUGGUGCAUGGCUGUCGUCAGCUCGUGUCGUGAGAUGUUGGGUUAAGUCCCGCAACGAGCGCAACCCUCGUUUUUAGUUGCCAGCAUUAGGUUGGGCACUCUAGAGAGACUGCCGGUGACAAACCGGAGGAAGGUGGGGAUGACGUCAAGUCAGCAUGCCCCUUACGUCUUGGGCUACACACGUACUACAAUGCUACGGACAAAGGGCAGCUACACAGCGAUGUGAUGCGAAUCUCAUAAACCGUAGCUCAGUUCAGAUCGAAGGCUGCAACUCGCCUUCGUGAAGGAGGAAUCGCUAGUAAUUGCAGGUCAGCAUACUGCAGUGAAUUCGUUCCCGGGCCUUGUACACACCGCCCGUCACACCAUGGAAGUUGGUCACGCCCGAAGUCGUUACCCCAACCGAAAGGGGGGGGAUGCCUAAGGUAGGACUGAUGACUGGGGUGAAGUCGUAACAAGGUAGCCGUACCGGAAGGUGUGGCUGGAUCACCUCCUUUUAGGGAGACCUAAUCCAUUUAGAAAUCGAAAACAAUGAAAAUUGUCAAUAGAAACUAAAUUGGUCUAACCUAGGUCGGUCGAGAUUGGUAGAUAUCUUUCAAAGUAUUAUUCGGCUUUGUUCAAAACCAUAGAUAAUAAAUGGAAAAAAGACAGCACCUAAUUGUCAAAGUUAGACUGCUGGAUGAAAUUCCAGCCAGAACCUUGAAAACUGCAUAAGAGAACGAGAAAAAGCAGGCAGACACAGACAUUUAGAUGGAUGUGAAAGCAAAAGAAAUUGUGGUCAAGCUAAUAAGGGCUAAUGGUGGAUACCUWGGCACACAGAGGCGADG
Molecule: ribosomal RNA, 1532 nt
Filed under: uncultured Anabaena sp.
Lineage: Bacteria; Bacillati; Cyanobacteriota; Cyanophyceae; Nostocales; Nostocaceae
Description: bacterial SSU rRNA
Rfam family: Bacterial small subunit ribosomal RNA (bases 1-1202)
Source: RNAcentral